Molecule: ribosomal RNA, 433 nt
Filed under: uncultured bacterium
Lineage: Bacteria
Description: partial 16S ribosomal RNA
Rfam family: Bacterial small subunit ribosomal RNA
Source: RNAcentral
AACGAACGCUGGCGGCAUGCCUAACACAUGCAAGUCGAACGAGACCUUCGGGUCUAGUGGCGCACGGGUGCGUCACGCGUGGGAACCUGCCCUUAGGUUCGGAAUAACUCCCCGAAAGGGGUGCUAAUACCGGAUCAUGUCUUCGGCCCAAAGAUUUAUCGCCUUUGGAUGGUCCCGCGUUGGAUUAGCUAGUUGGUAGGGUAAAAGCCUACCAAGGCGACGAUCCAUAGCUGGUCUGAGAGGAUGAUCAGCCACACUGGGACUGAGACACGGCCCAGACUCCUACGGGAGGCAGCAGUGGGGAAUAUUGGAAAAUGGGCGAAAGCAUGAUCCAGCAAUGCCGCGUGAGUGAUGAAGGCCUUAGGGUUGUAAAGCUCUUUUACCCGGGAUGAUAAUGACAGUACCGGGAGAAUAAGCUCCGGCUAACUCCGUG